Molecule: long non-coding RNA, 500 nt
Organism: Rhincodon typus (whale shark)
Lineage: Eukaryota; Metazoa; Chordata; Chondrichthyes; Orectolobiformes; Rhincodontidae
Exons: 2
Source: RefSeq, a predicted model, not a curated record
CUUCUACUGGGACUUCCCACUCCCUGCCCAGACCACACCAAAUCCUUUAUAGUCAGCACCUGCCCACACAGACAAAAAAAAACACAUUUUCGCGUUCGAUAUGACCUUCUGGAAAGCUCAGCUCCCUCCCUGUUCCCCAGGGUUCACACGUGUGGCCUCGGGGAAACUCCCUUGAGCAGACGAAAUGGAAAAGGAUUCGGUGUGGAUUUUUCUCAGGGAAUUCAGUAAAUUGGAGAUUUUCAGGAAGUAGCUCGGCUGACACUACGUAUCGACGCGACAGUUAAAACACAAAACUGAAAAUGGAAACAAUUCAGGCAGCACCAGCUGUCCGAGUGAAAGAACCGGGAAAAAGAACAGAAGGGCUUGAUUUCCAGUGCACUACACCAGUGACUCAUGACAUUUUGGACUUAUCCAGCUCGGUCAGUUGUAGUACAAGUCACUGUUGGUAAUGAGUGACAUUCUGAAAGCUUGUGUCUUCAAAUAAACCUGUUGUACUAUAA